RNAcentral lists this unclassified non-coding RNA (335 nucleotides) under soil metagenome. Its description in RNAcentral is "partial contains 5.8S ribosomal RNA, internal transcribed spacer 2, and large subunit ribosomal RNA". The stretch from base 1 to 120 matches the Rfam family "5.8S ribosomal RNA", at positions 35 to 154 of the family's 154-position model. The record is from RNAcentral.
GAUGAAGAACGUAGCGAAAUGCGAUAAGUAAUGUGAAUUGCAGAAUUCAGUGAAUCAUCGAAUCUUUGAACGCACAUCGCGCCCGCCAGUAUUCUGGCGGGCAUGCCUGUUCGAGCGUCAUUUCAACCAUCAAGCCCCCGGCUUGUGUUGGGGACCUGCGGCUGCCGCAGGCCCUGAAAACCAGUGGCGGGCUCGCUAGUCACUCCGAGCGUAGUAAUACAUCUCGCUCAGGGCGUGCUGCGGGUUCCGGCCGUUAAAAAGCCUUAUUUACCCAAGGUUGACCUCGGAUCAGGUAGGAAGACCCGCUGAACUUAAGCAUAUCAAUAAGCGGAGGA